GUAUAUCAAAUCUCAAACCAGCUUGGGGUUUCUGUCUGUAGGCCUCAAACCAGGCCUGUCUGUAGAACAUGGCAAGGAGGCCAUUCUAAACUUUUCAUGUGUAUGUUUCUAUUCAUAAUCUUAAUAUUUAUACUGGUUACCUUUAAAAAUGUAUUUAAAUCUCAAUGGAAUUAUGUAAAGAAUGAUCAACACGUGGUUUCUGAAAAUGUAGUAUGGAAGAGCGUAUCAGCACAGAGAUUUGAGGAGGUGAGUGCUGUGUCACUUGGAACUCAUGGUUGGUGUAGGAGGUGGUAAGUGACAUGCCAUUGUUAAAUUUCAGCUCAUGGCUAAUGGAGAUGAAUGUCCAGUAUGAAGAUCUGGAUUAUUGUCUCUGAUUUGUAGGGUGGAGCAUGAUGAGUCCUCUCUCACUCACAGUUGUAAGCCACUCUUUGAGAAGUCACUUUAUUCGGCUUAAUUACAGAUAACUGGCUUAAGAUGACAUUUAUUAAGCAAUAUCUUCCCAUUAAGAUUGGCCAUCGAAGUGAGCUAGCUUCCUCUGUACAUGGUUCAUGUCAAUGGAAUAUUUUUAGCAUUUCCUGUUAUAUAAAAGUAAAAUUCUUCAGGACAUAAAACAGUCGGAUUCAAUACUCAGGGCCUCCAGUAUUUUAAAGAUUGUAAUAGCAUGGAAUUAUAAGUUUGUGCGUGUGUGUGUGUGUGUGUGUGUGUGUGUUUGUCAGUGUGUAUACACGCAUCUUUGUGAAUGCAUCAAAGCUAGAGAUCAUCAUGUAUUCUGUUCUAUCCUUCCCUGCAUUAUACAUUUGAGGAGGGGUCUGUCCCUGAACUCGAGAUAGGCUCCUGAGCUCCUAGCAUCCUUCUGUGUCUGGUCCCCACCACACAGGUGUAACACAGAAAUGUGCAGCUGUCCUUGAUGUCUUAUCCAGGUUCUGGGGAUCCGGAUUCAGCUGCUUAUGCUUGUGUAUCAAAUAUCUGAGCCUCUUUUACCUUCCCCAGGUCUAACGUGUAUUCUGUGUGUAUUCUGUGUUAAAACCGUUGGCUAUUUUGUAGAUUCUAAGAGUCAAGAAACAUGCUUCAGUCAAGAGUGACAGCCACAAUUUAGAUGCACGGCUGUGGGAAGGAAAACCAUACUUCUAAUAUGAAACUUCUCUCAAUAAUGAAGAAUGAAAUGGAUUUUAAAUAGGUCACUCGGUUCUAUCAUAUGCCUCUGAUAAGUGGGACCGCCAAAUAAAAUUCAGAAAGAACCAA
This is a long non-coding RNA of Mastomys coucha (southern multimammate mouse), 1242 nucleotides long. RefSeq lists it as uncharacterized. The record is from RefSeq and is a predicted model, not a curated record. The transcript has 2 exons. Lineage: Eukaryota; Metazoa; Chordata; Mammalia; Rodentia; Muridae.